This 301-nucleotide ribosomal RNA is filed under the name uncultured bacterium. RNAcentral describes it as "partial 16S ribosomal RNA". It matches the Rfam family "Bacterial small subunit ribosomal RNA", at positions 509 to 807 of the family's 1533-position model. The record is from RNAcentral.
CAGUCGCCGCGGGAACACCGAGGGUGCAAGCGUUAAUCGGAAUUACUGGGCGUAAAGCGCGCGUAGGUGGUUUGUUAAGUUGGAUGUGAAAGCCCCGGGCUCAACCUGGGAACUGCAUCCAAAACUGGCAAGCUAGAGUACGGUAGAGGGUGGUGGAAUUUCCUGUGUAGCGGUGAAAUGCGUAGAUAUAGGAAGGAACACCAGUGGCGAAGGCGACCACCUGGACUGAUACUGACACUGAGGUGCGAAAGCGUGGGGAGCAAACAGGAUUAGAUACCCCAGUAGUCCCUGUCUCUUAUAC